CCUCUAAAACCUCAUCUUUGAUAACAAGUGUGAAACUAGGAUGGGUUGAGCUCAUGAGAGCUUUAUUAAGAAGAGAUUUAGCUAAGAAGAUAGACAUUGAAACAUAUAGCUCAUAGAGCUUUAUUUAAGACAAUAAAGUAAAGAAGUGGAAAGAACGUGAGAUUGUCUGCAAGAGUAUAAUGACUUUGAUUAUCACAUUAAGAAGAGAAAGUGAGGCUGCGGUUUUUAGCAGCCAAAGUUGGUUACAAAGACUUUCCUAGAACAUAUUUAUAAGACUACUUGGUAGGAACCCUAGUUACACUUAAGACUUCAUAACAUGGGCUUUGGACUUCUGUUGGGCUUUUAUGCAUGAGCUCUAAUACUCCCCCGCAAACUUGGCGUCGAGUGAAUGCAAGAUGCUGAGUUUGAACUGCAGAUGGAAGUGACUUGGACAGAAACAUGUGUAAUCAAGCAAGACCAUUGUGAUGUAGGUUGAUGACUCUAUUCACCAUGAAGAACAAGCCUUAGCGUGAGAACUAUUCAAGUCUGUACCUGGAGAUUGUCGCAUGGCUCCCUCAGAGGUUUCUUUUGAACUUGGAGAGCUUAGUCAACAUCCCUCAGCGACUUAUUUGUCUCACUGAGAACCGGGCUUCUUUGACCCUUUUAACUCCUAAUCUGUCUCCUGACGAAAGAAUUAUCUUCCCAAACCUACUCAAAUCCUACUCUUUAGCAACUGCUUCCAAUAGCCAACAAAAAUCUGCAUUUUGUAGAAUCUAUCCUUCUCUUUGACAUUUCAUCGAGCACUUGGAGUACAUUCAUCAAAACACUUUGCUUUUCCACACAAAAAAACGACAACAGAAACCUUCCAACACAGUCAUAGCAAACCCCAUACCACUCAUAUUUCAUCCAAGACUCUCAAUUCCAGACCUAAGAAUCUAAACCAGCAAGCCAAAUAUCCUUCUCAAGCUACAAAACAAGUUAUCUCUAUUUCUUUGGAUCUGUCGCAAAAAAAGGAGACUUCUUUACCGUGAUAUGUGUAAAGGAAGAAGCUUGAAAUCUUGUGGUUCCAAGGUCUUUAGCUUCGGCUGAUGAGUCUGGUGGUCUUGAGAGCACUUAAAAAACGUCAGCAACUUGCAGCUUUUCACCAGAUGCUUAGUGUUGCAAACGAUGUCUUCAUGAAGCUGGUGAGAUGAAGCGAGACCAACUCUCUGAAGAUGAUGCUAGAGCUGACUUGUUAGGUUGAGAGGAAGCUUAAAUGACCCAUGAAUCGACUGAAGCUCUGAUACCAUGAUAACAAGUGUGAAACUAGGAUGGGUUGAGCUCAUGAGAGCUUUAUUAAGAAGAGAUUUAGCUAAGAAGAUAGACAUUGAAACAUAUAGCUCAUAGAGCUUUAUUUAAGACAAUAAAGUAAAGAAGUGGAAAAAACGUGAGAUUGUCUGCAAGAGUAUAAUGACUUUGAUUAUCACGUUAAGAAGAGAAAGUAAGGCUGCGGUUUGUAGCAGCCAAAAUUGGUUACAAAGACUUUCCUAGAACAUAUUUAUAAGAUUACUUGGUAGGAACCCUAGUUACACUUAAGACUUCAUAACAUGGGCUUUGGACUUCUGUUGGGCUUUUAUGCAUGAGCUCUAAUA
Molecule: long non-coding RNA, 1610 nt
Filed under: Eutrema salsugineum
Lineage: Eukaryota; Viridiplantae; Streptophyta; Magnoliopsida; Brassicales; Brassicaceae
Description: long non-coding RNA (ESAL_LNC002129)
Source: RNAcentral